Molecule: non-coding RNA, 313 nt
Organism: Zootermopsis nevadensis
Lineage: Eukaryota; Metazoa; Arthropoda; Insecta; Blattodea; Termopsidae
Source: RefSeq, a predicted model, not a curated record
AGCAGGACUCCAAUUUGUUAUUGAAGGAGUCACACCAAGAAAUAAUCGGAAACCCAUCUGGAACAAAAGAAGUUUUUUAUGUGUGACUGUAUUCUGGUCCUGGAACAGUUCUGCCGGCAAUUUUUCAAGGCAAUAAUCUAGCAUUCGCCUGGAAGGACUGAAGAAAAACAAAAUAUCCCAAUCAGGAUAGCCAAUACUCCACAUAACAACUGAGUACCUUAGUACUGAAAAAUUUGAGUUGGUUAUUUAAUAAUGGUAAUGUAUCGGAGAUUAUGUGGUGACGAAAUAAAGUACAUUCAACAUCAUAUAGGAA